UGGUUCUGGCAUCGAUGAAGAACGCAGCGAAAUGCGAUACGUAAUGUGAAUUGCAGAAUUCAGUGAAUCAUCGAAUCUUUGAACGCACAUUGCGCCCGCCAGCAUUCUGGCGGGCAUGCCUGUUCGAGCGUCAUUACAACCCUCGUUGCCCCCCUUCGGGGCGCGGUGUUGGGGGACGGCCCGGGCCCUUCGGGGCGGGGCCGCCCCCGAAAUGGAUCGGCGGCAACGGCGUCCGCCUCCCCUGCGUAGUAGCACAGCAUCUCGCAACGGGAGCGCGCCGCGGCCACUGCCGUAAAACGCACAACCUUUUAAGAGUUGACCUCGGAUCAGGUAGGAAUACCCGCUGA
Molecule: unclassified non-coding RNA, 347 nt
Filed under: uncultured fungus
Lineage: Eukaryota; Fungi
Description: partial contains 5.8S ribosomal RNA and internal transcribed spacer 2
Rfam family: 5.8S ribosomal RNA (bases 1-133)
Source: RNAcentral